CUACGGGGUGCAGCAGUGAGGAAUAUUGGUCAAUGGGCGAAAGCCUGAACCAGCCAUGCCGCGUGAAGGAUGACGGCCCUAUGGGUUGUAAACUUCUUUUAUACGGGAAGAAACACCUCUACGUGUAGAGGCUUGACGGUACCGUACGAAUAAGCAUCGGCUAACUCCGUGCCAGCAGCCGCGGUAAUACGGAGGAUGCAAGCGUUAUCCGGAUUUAUUGGGUUUAAAGGGUACGUAGGCGGAAACUUAAGUCAGUAGUGAAAUCCCGCAGCUUAACUGUGGAACUGUUAUUGAUACUGGGUUUCUUGAAUAUUGUUGAGGUAGGCGGAAUAAGUAAUGUAGCGGUGAAAUGCUUAGAUAUUACUUAGAACACCGAUUGCGAAGGCAGCUUACUAAGCAAUUAUUGACGCUGAGGUACGAAAGCGUGGGGAGCGAACAGGAUUAGAUACCCCAGUAGUC
Molecule: ribosomal RNA, 459 nt
Filed under: uncultured bacterium
Lineage: Bacteria
Description: partial 16S ribosomal RNA
Rfam family: Bacterial small subunit ribosomal RNA
Source: RNAcentral